AUGAUGUUAACCUUAGAUGACUUCCUUGUGGAGUUAGCCUCGAUGUGUGCUCACACGCAAGUCCCCUAUAUAGUGGGUGGUGAUUUCAAUAUCCUUAGAGAAAACUGUGAGAAGAACAAAACCAUGAACCGAUCCCCUUAUAUGGAUAAGUUCAACUCCAUCAUAGAUUCUCUAAGCCUUCGGGAGAUAUACAUGGGAGGGGGCAAAUACACAUGGACUAAUAAUCAAAAGCACCCCACCCUGGAGAAACUUUAUAGAAUUUUGAUGAGUUUUGAUUGGGAGGACUUGUUCCCUUUGGUUACAGUUCAUAAACUGGUUAGAGAUGUUUCCGACCACAACCCACUCCUCUUGUCCUCGGGGACGAAGAAAAUGGAUACCUCCCUCCAACAUCUGUUCAAAUUUGAGCUCAACUGA
Molecule: ribosomal RNA, 414 nt
Filed under: Triticum aestivum (bread wheat)
Lineage: Eukaryota; Viridiplantae; Streptophyta; Magnoliopsida; Poales; Poaceae
Description: partial small subunit ribosomal RNA
Source: RNAcentral